AGCUGAUAUACCCUUGGCAGAGCCUUUGAAAACUCAAAGUCAGCUUUGCACUGCAGUGAGGUAUCAGAGCAAGACUGCAGAGAGAGGAAUCUUCCUGUAGUUUUGUGUAAGUCAACAGAAGGUGAAGAUAUAUCUGAAUGGGGCAGGAGCUUUUCAAGCAGCUUUCCUUGAGAAGAGAGCAUUAAACAGGAAAGAAACUUUCACAAUGGCUUGCCAAUUGGAAAAUCAAAAGUGAGAAGAAAGGGGAAAAACAAGAUUAGCUGGACAAAAAGAGGAAAGAAAUAAGGAACUUGGAAAUUCAUUCCAGAGCCUGUCAUGGAGGUAGGAACUCUGGGAUGAUCCUACUCACGAUCAGCUCUUGAGCACUGCUUCUUCUUAUGUUCCAUGUUUGGGUGCCAUAUGUUGUGAUAUGGGAGCUACCUGCCAGUGGUAGCUGGAAGUCUAACUCAGACCUGUACAAUGGAUCUCUUCAUGUGAGAGGAUGAUGACAAUGACAUAAGGAAAUUGAGAGGCAGUUGCUGUUCUCUGGUGUAUCUUCAAGAAUAAGACUCAAGAAUAAAGCCUACAGACUUCAGACGACUGCAGACUCCAUCCUUGACCAGACUUAUGGUGGCUCUUCAUCUUCCUCACUUCUCCAUUUGACAACAAAGCCCAUCCACAGAUCCUCCAGAAAGCUAACCCGGACUUGACAUUUUUGGUGUCCAAAUGUGUGGCACUAGACUUGGGGCCCUAGAUGCGAGGCUCUGGCCAUAACACUUACACUCAGGAGUUUGACUGAAGCAAUCAUAAACUCAAUGGAGAAGACCCUGUGAUCCCAAAAUAGGGUGAAUACAAAAACAGACAAGUGGGAAACUUUGUUAAGGGCUAAACUAGUCACUUUUGUUCUUCAGCUGAAAUGGGCAAAUAUUAAGAAAAGAGGAUUCCCCCACCCUGAGGGCAGUGUGUAGCAUGCAUAGUUAGAUUAAUAAAGAAGCAAGAUUCAUUGAUGACUUGGAAGCAGAUAACUGGACUCUUAAAUAUAUUAAAGUGCACAUCUCCUUGGCUCUCUAAGGAAGAAAAAUAGAGCUAGAUAUGUGGAAACUAGUGGGAGAGCAACUAAUUGAAUAUUAUGAAGCUAAAGUUCCUGAUUCAAUUCCUGAGGAAACAUUCCUUAUAUACAGUAUAAUACAAUUGACUUUAAAGGACCCCACAAGUUCUAAAAAAAAAGGAAAAAUUUCAAUGUAGAUACCUAGACAAAAAAGAGUGAGGAGAAAGAGCAGGAAGGGGAUGGUACUGACAAAGCAGCUGAAACUCAUGGAGAAUUGAACAAGAAAGGAGUUAAGGAUAGUGCUGAUAAACUUAAGGGAUAUGGUGCUUCUUACUUUCACAACUCAGUUUCACUUCUGCCUACCCCUGAGCAGACACCUUAGGGCAUUCCCCAUCUCCUGACUAUCCUCUCCCAACUUCACUUUAGUGAAUAGAGGUAUGAGGAGGAGUGGAAGGGGCAGUGACACCAUCAACAUUACCCGUGCAGCAGCUUUAUCAACCUCUUAUGACACAAUUACAAAAGACAUUAGCUAAAGCUAAAGAGGAAGGACAGGAUACAUCUGAUCUGAGAAGAGAAACGUACCCUGUGAUUGAAGAGUUUCACUCUUCAGGUCAAGAAAAAAGAGGAUAUACUCCUUUUAAUCUGGAAAUUAUCAAAGAUCUGAAAAAGGCUUGUAUUAGAGAAUUUGGUUUAUAAAAUUUUAACCCCUAAUAAUUGUAAAUCUAUUGCAAGCAAAUGUUUAGAACCUGGAUAAAAUUUGUUGUGGCUUUCAGAGUAUAGUGAACUUUGUGGAAUACAACCACAAAGAUAUAGGCAAACUGAAGUAAAAUACCAGUCAUCUCUGAUCAACUAACAGGUGUAGGUCUUUAUGCAGAUGCUUUAGCACAGAUUAAUUACCCUAUAGCAGCAUAUGAGCAAAUUGCUGCUGCUGCUAUCAAAGCAUGGGGCAUCCUCCCAGGAAGAUAAGAUAGAGAGGGAACCUUCACAGAAACAGCACAAGUCCAAAUGAACCCUUUGCUGAUUUCAUGGGAUGUCUGCAGACAGCCAUCAUACAAAUUAUUGAUUAAAAUGUAGCAACAAAAAUUAUGAUAAGACAACUUGCCAGAGAAAAUACUAAUGAGGAUUGUAGAAGAAUUAUACUAGGACUACAAAAGGAUGCUCCUUUAGAUGAGAUCAUAAGAUGCUGCCACAGUGGGCAACAAUACCUUUUAUAUUUAAGUUAUGAUGCAGAUUUCUCAAGAUCUGAACAUGGGAAGACAGGAUCCCUUUUAGUAAGGGAGUUCAGAGAGACUCAUCAAUGCUUUCAAUGUAAUAAAGUAGAGCACCUGAAGCUUAAUGUUGGCAUAAAAAACAGGGUAGGGGAACAAGACCCAAAACCCUAUGUCCAAAAUGCAACAGCGGCUUCCAUUGGGCAUCAGAAUGUAGAUUGACUAAGGAAAUUGGAAGCAGGACUUGGCUCCAGGGCCCAAGGCAAAAAUACUUGGAGAAUGCCAAUGUUAUACCCAGAGAGACUCUAGAAGUUUAGUACUCCAACAUGAUCAAUCAGCCAAGAAGCAACCUGAUGGGAGAAAGGGAUUACAGUUGGGGAAAACAGAGCUGUAUGCAGCAGGGACUACUGAGACUCCUGGAGAGGCGAAAUCUUCCUCAGUCUGGCCUAUGGAUCCUUUGCCUCCAGGCACAGUACCCUUGACCAUUUCACCUCCUGAGAGUGCUUACAAAAUGCAUACACUGACUUGGGAAACUGGGGAAUAUGUAUACAAUAUUCUAGUGACUAAUACAGGUAGACAAUGUGCGACUUAUCAACAGGAGAAAUAGUAACAUCAGGUUUACUGAUACACACUCCUAAUAGGCAAUCUGGGGAUAGUUGCCCAAAUUUUGACUCCCAGCAACAGAAUCUGGGAAUAUUCUGGACUGCAGCAGUUACAACUGACCAAGCUAUGCUCACUAGCUAUGUAAAUGGCAUACCAUUGAAAGGGUUGGUAGACACAGGUACAGUCAUUAGAAGUGCCAGUUGACCCAAUCAUUGGCCAAAGAUUAAGGCAGACACCUAUAUGUCUGGCAUAGGAGAAUCAAUAGCAGCUAAAGUUAGUUCUGCCCUUUUGAGAUGGAUAUUGGAAGGUGAAACAGAGUUUUUCUUCUUUUGUAGUCAAAAAAAAUCCCCAUCAAUCUAUGGGGAAGAGACAUCUUAAAACAGUUCGGAUUACAAUUGAGUACUUUGGCUUUUUAGACAGGGCUACUGUUGAAGGCCUGACUACACUCUCACCUGUUCCCAUUCAAUGGAAAACUGAUACACCAGUGUGGGUAGAACAGUAGCCCUUGACAUGUGAAAAAAUCCAGGCCUUAUUAGAUUUAGUACAGGGGCAACUUGAUCAAGGACACUUACAACCUUCUCUAAGUCCUUGGAAUUCCUCUUUAUUUGUUGUUAAAAAGAAAUCUGGAAAAUGGAGGAUGCUGACUCAUUUAAGAAAAGUAAAUGAACAGAUGGAAACUAUGGGAACUCUUCUGCCUGGACUUCCAUCUUCUACUCAAUUGUCUGGAGAAUUGCUUCUUUGGAUUAUAGACAUUAAGGGUUGUUUGUUUCUAUCCUAUCCCUCUAGAUAAGGAGGAUAUGAAAAAAAUUGCCUUUUCAGUUCCCAGUGUUAAUUUAUCUGAGCCUUAUAAAAGAUAUGAAAGGACAGGUUUGCCAAGAGAAUGAAAAACAGCCCUACUAUUUGUCAAAUGUAUAAUGCUACUGCUCUUACUCCAGUAAGAAAAGUAUUUCCAAAAGUAAUGUUAUUACAUUACAUGGAUGAUUAUAUAUGUGGUAGACACAGGUGCUUGGCACAAAGUGAGUUCUUAAUGAAUGCAUAUUGAUUAAUGAUUGAAUUUUAGACAUUGAAGGGUUAAAUGUUCUGUUCUCUAAAAUAUAAUAUGCUCUGGGAGCAGGUUUCUUGGGGAGCUUCUGGAGGCAGCCUUAGUUUCAGUUCUGAGUAAUAAUCACCUCAAAUGCAGCCAGGAAUUAAAAGUCCAGAGUACUUUAUUAUCUCCUUCAAAAUAGCCCAGUUAGUUUUCUUAGAGGCCUCUCUCUCUCCUUUGUUCCCAGAGCUCUUACCACUAGUCCUUUGUCUCUUGCAGCUUCAGCCUCUAGCUCCCUCUGAAUCCAAAGCCUCCAGCCAGCACAAAGGUGAAAAAUGGAAUGAAUCUGUCUUGACUCUGAGAGUGGUCUCCUCCUCUGGUGGGCUUGUCCUUCUGACUUGUGAAUCUCCCAACUCAAUUCUCCCUCUGAAUCUCCCAGAGCUUCCAGUGGACUUGUCUUUUUUUAUGCUCUUUUAGAAGUGUGAACUCUUAAAGGUAUUAAAAGUGUGAAGUCUUGCAGAACUCUAACAAGUACUAAGUACAUUAGUGAACCAGAGAACUGCUAAGCACUAUGCUAAAAUUAGACAACUGACUUAGCACCUUGUAAGAAUUCUAACAGAAGGGACCUUGGAAACCAUCUAGUUAAACAAAUGCCAAAAUGUAAUCUCUACUUUGAUACCUUAAAAUAUGGUCAAGCCAUUUAUGUUUGGUGACCUCCAAAAGUAAGAAACUUACAUUCUGUUGAUGACACCCAUUCCAUUUUUGAAUUGCUUUACUCAUUAGUGAUUUUUUUAUCCUGACAUAAAAUGCAAAUAUUAGACUGUUUCUAGUUUUUUUUUUCAUUUGGACUCAAGCAGAAAGAGUCUAAUGCUCCUGUCUUCUCACAUAACUACUCAAUAUAGUUGAAGAUAGAGUUCCCUCUAAGUCUUCUUUAGAAUAAAGAUUCUAUUUUAAAAACAUUUCUCCAAUUUAAAAUAUAUUGUUUGAAUCUUCCACAUCUUGACAAAAAUAGUAGAGUUUUUUAAAGUUAGAAUGCAAUGAUUUCCACACCACCAGUCAGUAGAAUGUUAUGUGAAGUUUUGAUGUUGUUUGAAAUUUCCCUAGAGAGAUAGAUCUAGACAUAAUUGUGAGGGAGACCAUAUACCUUCAGCUCUUCACUCUUUUGUGCCUUUUCUUUCAUCUCUCUACCACACAGGGGAAAAAAAGAAAAGAAAAAAAAAAACUUAUGCAAUGAAUAUGCACAGACAAGCAAAAUAAAUUCUACCAUUGUCCUGUGUAAAAAUUCAUGAUUCAUUCAGUAUAUAUUGUCAAUCACUUCUCUGUUAGGAGGAAAGCAGAAUUCUAAAUGAUUGGUGCUCUGUAAUCAUCAUUGAUCAUUGCUUUGAACAGACUUUUAAAAUCUUUCCAAAUUGUUCAUUUUUUACAAUGCUGUUGUUAUGGUAUAAAUUGUUCCUAGAUCUUUUCUCUUCUCUCUGAAUCAUUUUGAAAAGAGAUACAAAUGAUACCCACUCCACUCAUCCUUUCUUUGUUUAUAUAGGCUUUUACUUGUAUCCUCUGAUUACUGUAAGAUAACUUCUCUUACUUGACUCUCCCUAUGACUUCACUAUCAGAAUUUUUCUGGGAUUUCAGUAGGGACUUGAAAGAAGCUAAGGGAGGUUAAGAGAAAGUAAUGAGAGUGGAGAGAAGUCUAGAUAUGGAGGCAGCUGGUAAAAAUGAUUUGAAUCAGGAGAUAAAAAGUUUUAUGCAUGGAAUGAUAAGGAGGGCAGUGUCAUACAAUUGGAGAGUACAUGGGAUGAAUAAGUUGUAAAAAGAUUGGAAAGGUGUAAAGGGAACAAGUUAUAAAAUGUUUUAAAUGCUAAAUAGAAGAUUUUUCUCACUGGGCCAACUUGGGCAGAUUGCUUAAUACUUGUCUUAUUUUUUUCAUCUGUAAAAUGGGGAUAAUAACAACUCCAAGGUUGUGAUGAAAUACAAAUAAGAAAAAUAUAAAUCACUUAGCAUAAUGCUUAGCAUUUGGUGAGUGCUACAUAAGUGUUAGCUAUUAUUAUUAUUAUAUUACAUUCUGGUUUUUUGGAUAAAUUAUUCUUGGCUAGAGGCCUUUAUCUUUUGUCUUUUGGAAUAUUUUGUUCUAUUCUCAGCUGCUUUAUGGAGGUUGCUGCUAAAUCUUGGGUGAUACUAUGAGUUUCAGUAAGGAAACAUUUUCUUUAGAGCUGAAGCCAUUUUUUUUUUAAACCUGGAAACUCUGGAUUUUGGCUAUGAUGUUGCUUGGGGUAUUUAUUUUGGAGUUUUAGUUAAUGAAUUCUUUUAAUUUUCAUUUUUACCUCUGUUUGUAAGUGAUCUGAGAAAUUUUCUUUCAAGAAAUCUAACCUCAGCCAGGGUCUAAGUCCACAUGCUCAGCCCUUUUUGAAGACCUUAUUGUGCUUGCUGCUCUUGACAUCACAAUACUUUCAGCCUUGCUUGGGAUUCUUGGUGGAUUUCACAUUCUCACUCCCUCUGGGAGACUUCUUGCUAUUUGCCUGAGGGCUAAAUAGAAGAUCACUGAACUGCUUACCUACUUUGGAAAUCUGGAAUCUUAGUCCAUGAUCCUAGCCUAUCACAAUGUAAUUAUCGGCCCUCAUAAAUUGUCUGUGUAUAUAUAUACAUAUAUAUAUAUAUAUAUGUAUAUAUACACAAAAUUAUUAUAAUAAAUACAUAUAAAAAUUAUACAAUUUUUGAUCCCCAUUACUACUUUGUCAAGUAUUCUUCAUAAAUAUUUUUUAUAACUGUUGUUUCAAUGAACUGGGUUCUAUUGCUUUUUCCUGUUCUGCCAUCUUGAGUGCUCAUACACUCUUUUUAGCUUCUUCAUUUCCCUUUUUAAUAUUCCUUUGUCUCCAGGUAUGAAGGCUUUCUAUACUUAGCUGUAUCCCUUAUCCCUCAUUGUAUGAUCUCCCAUAACUAAGUCUGUCAUCAACAAAGAUUUAUUAAGCACCUACCAUGUGCCAAAUACUUUUAUUAACCAUUAGGUAUACAAAGAAAAUCAAAAAGUUGUUCCUGCUUUCAAGAAAUUUACAGUCUAAUAGGGGAGACAACAUGAAAGAUACUAUGUACAAACAAAUAAAUUGGAGAUAAUGAAUAGAGGGAUGCCUGUCAUCAAGGGGAUUAGAAAAGUCUUUUUUAUAGAAGGUGGAACUUGAAAGAAGCCAAGGAGAGAGCAACAAAGAUGGAGAAAAUUCCAGGAAUGGAGACAGCUGGUAAAAAUGCCUUGAAUCAGGAGAUAAAAUGUAUUAUGCAGAGAAUGGUAAGGAGGUCAGUGUUACUCUUUCCAGAAUACAUAGGGGUAAGCAAGUUAUAAGAAGAUAGGAAAGGUAGGAAGGGAGCAAGUUAUGAUAUGUUUUCAUUUUCAUUGCUAAAUAAUGAAGUUUUUAUUAUACUCUGGAGGUAAGGACAUACUAUAGUUUUUUGAAUGGAAAUGGGAAGUAUUGUGCUCAGACCAGGCAUUUAGGAAGAAAGACCUGGAUAAAAGAAAAUUAACACAGGGAGACAGGCUUUUCUUUCCUUUUUUUCUUUCUUUUUAUGCAACACUAUUGCAAAAUACUAUAAACAUGAAAUGAUGAGGGUCUGUACCUGAGGGAUAGGUGUGUGAAGGAAGUGAAGUAGACAUAUAUGAGAUACAUAAUGAAGAAGAUAGAAACCAAAGCAUUUGGUAAUAUGUCAUAUGGUAAAAGAGAAAAUGUUAUGAAUAAAAUCUGGAUUGCCAGCCUGGUUGUCUAAGAUGAGGGUGGUUUCUUCAACAAUAAUAGGAAAAGCAGAGGGGAGAACUUGGGAAAGAUAAAUUUAGUUUUGGAUAUGUUGAAUUUAAGAUGUCUAUGGGAUAUCCAUUUCAAGAUGUCUAAAAAACAAGUGGAAAUAUGAGACUAAAGUUCAUCACAAAGGUUUUGUACUGAUUUUCAGCAUCAGAACCACAAUUGCUGAUUAUGAUUCUAGUGAAAACUGAGGGUCUUUUCUGCCUCAUGUAAUGCCAGAAAAAAUUGGUUAAAACCUGUGUUUAGUAGAAACUAUCUCACUGAGAAUCAUUGACUCUUAGGCCAAUCUUCACAUUGACCAUAUUAAGACCAUUAAAGCAUGAGCUGGUCAUAAAGAAUGACAACCUAAAAUUCUUAAAAGACAGUUUUUCAGUCAUACGGUAUUUGUAUUAUUCCCCUAGGCUUGUCAUUGUGAGGAUAAAUGAUAAAAGUGCUAAAAAUUUAUCUCUCAACAAACUGAAUACUCCCCUAUUUCCAACAAACCACUAAUGUGUAUUUUUUGCUUUGGUGAUCUCCAACAGCUAUCGCUCUUUUUUCCUUCCUUUCUCAUUGUUUCUUUCCCACAUAAAAUAAAAUGAAUUACUGCAGUUUUGCCAUGAGUCCAAAGAAACAAUAACUCCCUUUCCUUCAAGAAAUCUAGAGGAAAUAAGUCCAUUAUUUUUAUUAUUAUUAUUUGUUUUUAUAUGAUUUGUCCUUGCUAUAUAUCCUAUUCAACAAUCACAGAAUAUUACUGGGGGAGAAACCGUCAAGUCAUCCAGUGUAAGAAAGGUUUUUAAUAAACUUUCAUUUGUUGAUUUUGACAACUCCCAUACCAUAUUUUCCUUUAUGUCUAAUUCCAUUUAGAAAUGUGCUGGGAUACUGUUGUUGUUAUUGGGGGGAUGGGGGGGUGGAUUGGAUUAUUAGCUGAAUCCCAAAUAUCUUAUAAAGACAGACAAAAAAAUUUACAUAAUAAUUGAGUCCAAAAGCUACAACUUACAAACAUUAAUGAUAUUUUGUUCUUAGUGGGAAGUGAGGACAUAAUAUAGUUAAUAUCGGAGGCUAUUAUCUUUCUUUUAUAGAUAGGGAAACUGAGGUUGAAAGAGGACUUGGAAUCCUGUCAUAUAACUAUGAAAUACCUGGGACAAGAAUCAUACUCAUCUCUUCCUGACUCCCAGGAAAAUACUGGAGAACUAAUCAGCCUUUAGUGACAAUUGUUAUUCUCCCAUUAAUUAACUGAAUAAUUUUGAAAAAGUCAUUCUUACUUUUGGAUUAUCAGUUUCUUAUUUGUUAAAUAAGGGAAACUGACUAAAUUUUAUCUCCAACAUUCCUCAAUCUCAAAAGUUCUAGGAUUCCAUGAAGGUCUGUAACUAUUCAUACAUGUCAGUGCCUUGGUGCCUACAUGGAAUAUUUACUACUUGAAACAUUUAUAUUAAUUCCUCUGCUCACAAAGGUCAUUCCCACAGGAUGACUGGCAGAUGACUGAAUUAUAGAGUAUGUCCCUGACAUAUCACUUCAGCUCAGCUAUACUGCUGGAAGGAAAUGAAUCCAGGGCUAUUUAAGUGAAAUCACCCCAUACUCAAGUGGAUGAAGAACAAUUUGACAUUUAUCUUGCUUCCUCUCUCCCUAACCCCAUCUUCCCCUUUUUUUGCCCUUGGUUGAUAUUCUCAGAGUCUUAUACAUUUUUGUGUUUCCUUGGUACAUUUUGCAAGGUAAAUACAAGUAAACUCCACUUUCUAAUGUAUUCUCAGUAACUAGCUAUAUCUUUGACACUAACCAUCUCAGCCAAAAAUGAUCAUUUCUUCAUUUCCUCCUUUGAAUCUCUUUAGUAAUUCUGCCUGCAUGUACUGUGAUGGACACUAGAUAUUUUUAACUCACUAUUUUAUAUUAUUAGUAAGUUUUCACCUAUAUAUGUUCUAACUAUAUUGUUCUUGACGUAAAUGCCUGCCUCUAUCUCCACCUCACCUGGCAUCUAGGACUGUGCCCUAUAUAAUACAUGCUCAGUAAAAAUGAGUGAUUAAAAUGAUUUUCAGAAAUUCAGAAGAAUACUGCAGAAAGAAAGGCCUCUCUUGUUCCAGGCAUUGUCCUAAACCAAUUAGAUUUUCUUAAUAAUAAUAGCUGACGUUCAAGUUUGCAGAGCACUUUAUAUGAAUUAUUUCCCUUUAAGGUGGACAUUACAGUGCUUAAAGGCACAAUUCUUGGCACAUAGUAAGCAUUCAUUACAUGGUUUAUCUAUCUGCUACAAGCCAUAUUUACAUUUUAUAGAUGAAGGAAACUGAGAAUCAGACAGUUUAACAAGUUUUGCACAAUUUCACAGCUCAUGUUAGUGAUAGGAUUUGAACCUAACUUUUCUAGGAAAACCUUUAACCACUAAACCAUGUUGCCUGUCUAAAAGAAAAAAAAAAAGGAACAAGUAUUUAUUAAGGCUUAUUAUAAGCUAGGCACAGUGCUUCUUUUUAAAAAUCAUCUCAUUUAAGACACAAUAAUCUCAGGCUAUGUAGUGGCUGUUAUUAUCCCAAUUCUAUGGUUAAGAAAAUUGAGGCACAUAGAUAUUAAGCUUUAUUUGCAUACAUAUGUAUGUAUAAUUGUACAUAUAUAUAUAUAUAUGUUGCAUAUAUGUGUACAUAUUUUAUAUAUAUAUGUGUGUGUGUGUGUGUAUAAAACAUGUGUCUAUGUUAGAGAAAAAGUUCUGAUUUGUUAGGUGCAGCUGAAAGAGAUGGGAAUAACUUCAUCCAGGGUCAUUUGAAAUUGUUCUUUCCCCCCAAAUUUAGAACAAGCACAUUAAAAGCCAUUUGUGCAAUUACUAUAUUUACUCCUGUAAUUCUCCCUUUUCAUUACUUCCUGGUAGGCUGCUAUGGCUAAACAGUGGGGCGCACCUUUUAAAGCAAGCCUUUAAAAGCUUGUCCAGGUGAAGAGGUGUGAACAGUGGUGGGCCACAAUUGAGUCUACCUCCUGCAAACAAUUUUUAAACAAACACAGUUGACACCUCACCCUCUUCUCUGGCUAAAUUUUCAGAGGUUCAGGAUGACUGAUUUUCUCAAGAAAAGGAAAAAAAGAAAAGCCUUGUAAGUAUUUGUAAAAUGACUGAGAAAACUGGGGGAAAGAAUAUGGGAGUAAUUAUGGCAGAUUCUUGAAGAGACAACUGAAUAUGUCUUAAAUGUUGCUUUUUGUUCUGUCAUAAAAAAAUCUAGAAUCUCCCUAUGAUUGAAUGAUUUUUAUGGAUUUCAAUACAAUGUAGUAUAUAGGGAAGAAUACUGCAAUUGGGGUGAGGGUAUCUGACUUCAUAGGAUCACAGUUUCAUAGAUUUAUAGCUUGAUGGAACCUUAGUGACCAUGAUAUUUAACUCUUAUUUUACAGAUAAGCAAACUGACAUUGGGAUAGGGUAAACAACUCAUUCAGGAUUCAUAGUUAAUAGGUUUCUGAGCCAGAAUUGGAACUCAAUUCUUCCUGAUUCCAAGCUCCAUACUCUCUCCCCUGUAUGGACCACUUAGAGGCCUAAUUUAGGCUAUGCUCCUUUUUCUCUUUUUUUGGGGGGGGGUGGGGAGGAACAAGUAGGUGGACCAGUGUAUAGAGUGCCAAUCCCAGAGUUAGGAGACAAGAGGCAAUGAGUUCAAAUUUGAACUCAUUUAUUAAAUGUGAGAUCUUGGGCAAAUCACUUAACUGAAUUUGCCUCAAUUCUUCAUCUAUAAAAUGAUGGAGAAGAAAAGGGAAAAUUGUUCUGGUAUCUUUGCCAAGAAAACCACAAAUAGGGGCAUGGAGAAUCAGCAACAAUUAAAAUGAAUCAACAACAACAAAAGAGUUUCUGUGUGUGUUAGCUGUGAAGCACUUAUUCACCUUCCUCUCAAGGAGAAUAAACAGAAAAGCAAACACUUGUAUCAAAUCAUCUCAGUGAAGCAUGACAGAUUUCCAUAUUGUUCAGGUCAAAAAUAUAUAUGUCAUUCUGCAUAUCCAUCCUUCACUGCUCUGACAGGAAGUGGUGCCCUAUCAUCUUCCAUACAUGUGGCACUGAGCCAGUAUUUUAACUGAGUCUCAAUUUUCUCAUCUAUAAGCCACUGGCUUCAGUAAAUGGAUUGUUAGGUCCCUUCCAUUUCAUUCUGUGAUCCCUUAAAGUUAUCAGAGUGUGUAUUCCUUUCAAUAGUUACCUCCAAGAUCAGAACCCAUCCAUGCUUUUAAAUUCCAUGUAAAUUUGAUAAAGUCCACUUGUAUAUCGUUCACAAGUCCUUCACCCAAGGGGGUGGGGGUCUUUGUGCUCCCCACACAAUAUCAUAUUGGUGUUCUUAGCAUAAAGACUAGCCACUUGAAGUCCCCCAACCCGAUAAUAAAUGCUAAAUCCCCAAGAAAAGUAUAACAAAACAGUGCCAAUAUAUCAAAAUAUAAAUGACAUAAAACUGCCAGAAACUUCUGAUAACAAUGAUAACAGAGAUACCUGAUUAACAGAGAUUGGAUCCAAAGUGAAAGUUAGAGUAUUGGAUUGAAUCAAAUCAGAUGAAAUUCAGCAAAAUAUACAUAUAAUCCUAAAUCUGAGUAUGGAAAAAAAUGACUUUAUAAGGUUGAGGAGUGAUAGAAAAGGCAGAAGUUUGAUUUUUUUCUUUCCUCAAUAGUAUUUCUUUUCCCUAAAUACAUGUAAAGAUAGUUUUCAACAUUUAUUUUAUAUAUUUAUUUACAGUUUAUUUACAAAACAUAUGCAUGGGUAAUUUUUCAGCAUUUACCCUUGCAAAAGCUUCUGUUCCAACUUUUCCCCUUCUUCCUCCCACCCCCUCCCCUAGAUGGCACGUAGUCCAAUACAUGUUAAAUAUGUUAAAGUAUAUUCAACAUUCAUUUUGAUAAGACUUUUGUGAAUUUUCCACAUUUCCUCCCUUAUCUCCCUCCUCCCCAAGAUAGCAAGCAUUUUGAUAUGUUAUACAUGUUCAAUAAUUUUAAACAUUUCCAUAUUUGUCAUGUUGUGCAAGAAAAGUCAGAUCAAAGGGGAAAAAUAUGAGAAGGAAAAAACAAGCAAAUAAAAAGGUGAAAAAAUACUAAACUUUGAUUCACACUCAGUCUCUAUAGUUCUCUCUCUGAGUUUUCAUUUUUCAUCCAAAGUCUAUUGGAAUUUUGGAAUACUGCAUUGCUGAGACGUGCAAAAUCCAUCACAGUUGAUAAUCACAUACUCUUGAUGAUACUGUAUACAACAUUCUCCAUGUUCUUUUCUCUUCACUCAGCAUCAGUUCAUGUAAGUCUUUCCCAGAUAUUUUUGAAAUCAUCAUUACUUAUAGAACAAUAAUAUUCCAUUACAUUCAUAUACCAAAACUUAAUCAGCCAUUUCCCAACUGACAAAUAUCCAUUCAAUUUCCAAUUCUUUACCACUACAAAAACAAAAAGCUGCCACAAACAUUUUACACAUGUAGGUCCUUUUCCCUCUUUUAUAGUGUCCUUGGGAUUUAGACCCAAUAAUGACACUACUGGAUCAAAGGGUAUGUACAAUUUUAUAGCCCUUUGAGCACAAUUCCAAAUUGCUCUCUGGAGUUAUUGGAUCAUUAUACAACUCUAUCAAAAAUGCAUUUUUCCUACUGAUAAAUAAUCAGUUUUCCUACACCUCCUCCAACACUUCUUAUCAUUAUCUUUUCCUGUUUUCUUAGCCAAUAUAAGAGGUGUAUACUGGUACCUCAGAGUUGUCUUAAUUUGCAUUUCCCUGAUCAAUAGUCUUUUAGACCAUUUUUCAUAUAAAUAUAAAUGACCUUAAUUUCUUCAUCUGAAAAUUAUCUGUUCAUAUCCAUUGACCAUUUAUCAAUUAGGAUAUAACUUGUAUUCUUAUAAAGCUGAUUCACUUGUCUAUAUGUUUUAGAAAUAAGCCUUUAUUAGAAACACUGGCUGUAAAAUAUUAUCUACCAACUUUCUGCUUUCCUUCUUUUUCAUUUUUUUAUUAUUAUAACUUUAUAUUGACAGAACAUAUUUAUGGGUAAUUUUUUACAACAUUACCCCUUGCACUCAUUUCUGUUGUGACUUGUCCCUUCCCUCCUUCCAUUCCCUCCCCAGAUGGUAGGCAGUCUUAUACAUGUUAAAUAUGUUAUAGUAUAUCCUAGAUACAAUAUGUGUGUGCAGAACUCUUGUUGCACAAGAAGAAUUUGAUUCAGAAGGUAAAAAUAACCUGGGAAGAAAAACAAAAAUGCAAGUAGUCCACAUUUAUUUCCCAGUGUUCCUUCUCUGGGAAUAGCUGACUCUGUCCAUCAUUGAUCAAUUGGAACUGAAUUAAAUUUUCUCUUUGUUGAAGAUAGCCACUUCCAUCAGAAUAAAUAGUCAUACAGUAUUGUUGUUGAGGUAUAUAAUGAUCUCCUGGUUCUGCUCAUUUCUCUCAGCAUCAUUCAUGUAAGUCUUUCUAAGCCUCUCUGUAUUCAUCCUGGUGAUCAUUUCUUACAGAACAAUAAUAUCCCAUAACAUUUAUACCACAAUUUACCCAACUAUUCUCCAAUUAAUGGGCAUCCACUCAGUUUCUAGUUUCUGGCCACUACAAAGAGGACUGCCACAAACAGUCGUGCACAUACAGGUCCCUUUCCCUUCUUUAUGAUCUCUUUGGGAUAUAAGCCCAGUAGUAACACUGCUGGAUCAAAGGGCAUGCACAGCUUGAUAACUUUUUGGCCAUAAUUCCAGAUUGCUCUCCAGAAUGGUUGGAUCUGUUCACAACCACCAACAAUACAUCAGUGUCCCAGUUUUCCUGCAUCCCCUCCUUCAUUC
This is a long non-coding RNA of Sarcophilus harrisii (Tasmanian devil), 14325 nucleotides long. NCBI's taxonomy places the organism in Eukaryota, Metazoa, Chordata, Mammalia, Dasyuromorphia, Dasyuridae. The record is from Ensembl.